Molecule: non-coding RNA, 114 nt
Filed under: Pseudonocardia benzenivorans CB1190
Lineage: Bacteria; Bacillati; Actinomycetota; Actinomycetes; Pseudonocardiales; Pseudonocardiaceae
Description: Pseudonocardia dioxanivorans CB1190 SAM (S-adenosyl methionine) riboswitch aptamer
Rfam family: SAM (S-adenosyl methionine) riboswitch aptamer
About the family: SAM-IV is a mRNA element that regulates gene expression via direct sensing of S-adenosylmethionine (SAM or AdoMet). SAM-IV riboswitches share conserved nucleotide positions with the previously described SAM-I riboswitches sequence analysis and molecular recognition experiments suggest that SAM-I and SAM-IV riboswitches share similar ligand binding sites, but have different scaffolds.
Source: Rfam by way of RNAcentral
GGUCAAGAGCGCCAGCGUCAAGCCCCGGCUCGCUGGCCGGCAACCCUCCUCCGCGGCGGGGUGCUCCGGGUGACGACCAGGCCGUCGCGGAACGCGCGUCGGCAAGCGCGGACC